RNAcentral lists this ribosomal RNA (468 nucleotides) under uncultured bacterium. RNAcentral describes it as "SSU rRNA". It matches the Rfam family "Bacterial small subunit ribosomal RNA", at positions 27 to 518 of the family's 1533-position model. The record is from RNAcentral.
GGGACGAACGCUGGCGGCGUGCUUAACACAUGCAAGUCGAGCGGAAAGGCCUUUCGGGGGUACUCGAGCGGCGAACGGGUGAGUAACACGUGAGUAACCUGCCCUAGGCUUUGGGAUAACCCUCGGAAACGGGGGCUAAUACCAAAUAAUUCACUUUCGACGGCAUCGUUGGGGGUGGAAAGUUUUCCGGUCUGGGAUGGGCUCGCGGCCUAUCAGCUUGUUGGUGGGGUGAUGGCCUACAAGGCGACGACGGGUAGCCGGCCUGAGAGGGCGACCGGCCACACUGGGACUGAGACACGGCCCAGACUCCUACGGGAGGCAGCAGUGGGGAAUCUUGGACAAUGGGGGCAACCCUGAUCCAGCCAUGCCGCGUGAGCGAUGAAGGCCUUAGGGUUGUAAAGCUCUUUCAGCGGGGAAGAUAAUGACGGACCGCAGAAGAAGCCCGGCUAACUCCGUGCCAGCAGCCGC